AGAGUUUGAUCCUGGCUCAGAACGAACGCUGGCGGCAUGCCUAACACAUGCAAGUCGAACGAGACCUUCGGGUCUAGUGGCGCACGGGUGCGUAACGCGUGGGAAUCUGCCCUUGGGUUCGGAAUAACUUCGGGAAACUGAAGCUAAUACCGGAUGAUGACGUAAGUCCAAAGAUUUAUCGCCCAAGGAUGAGCCCGCGUAGGAUUAGCUAGUUGGUGAGGUAAAGGCUCACCAAGGCUACGAUCCUUAGCUGGUCUGAGAGGAUGAUCAGCCACACUGGGACUGAGACACGGCCCAGACUCCUACGGGAGGCAGCAGUGGGGAAUAUUGGACAAUGGGCGAAAGCCUGAUCCAGCAAUGCCGCGUGAGUGAUGAAGGCCUUCGGGUUGUAAAGCUCUUUCGGGUACGACGAUGAUGACGGUAGUACCAGAAGAAGCCCCGGCUAACUUCGUGCCAGCAGCCGCGGUAAUACGAAGGGGGCGAGCGUUGUUCGGAAUUACUGGGCGUAAAGGGCGCGUAGGCGGCGCACCAAGUCAGGCGUGAAAGCCCUGGGCUCAACCCAGGAACUGCGUUUGAGACUGCCGUGCUGCAGUGUGGGAGAGGUCGGCGGAAUAUCUAGUGUAGAGGUGACAUUCGUAGAGAUUAGGAAGAACAGUGGUGGCCGAAGGCGGCCGAUUGGACCAUAACUGAACCUGAGGCCCAAAAGCGUGGGGAGCCAACGGG
RNAcentral lists this ribosomal RNA (723 nucleotides) under uncultured bacterium. RNAcentral describes it as "bacterial SSU rRNA". It matches the Rfam family "Bacterial small subunit ribosomal RNA", at positions 8 to 776 of the family's 1533-position model. The record is from RNAcentral.